This 1435-nucleotide long non-coding RNA is filed under the name Gallus gallus (chicken). RNAcentral describes it as "lncRNA (ENSGALG00010000587.1)". The record is from RNAcentral. Lineage: Eukaryota; Metazoa; Chordata; Aves; Galliformes; Phasianidae.
CGCCCCUCCCCCACGACCCCCCUCGAUGGGUGGCAUCGUCACCCCCCAAUGGGUGUCUUGGCCCCCCCCCCAAUGGGUGUCAUCGUCACCCCCCAAUGGGUGUCAUUGUCGCCCCCCCCAAUGGGUGUCGUCACCCCCCAAUGGGUGUCUUGGCCCCCCCCCAACGGGUGUCAUCGUCACCUCUCAGUGGGUGUCAUCGUCGCCCCCCAAUGGGUGUCUUGGCCCCCCCCAACGGGUGUCAUUGUCACCCCCCCAAUGGGUGUCAUCGUCACCCCCCAAUGGGUGUCAUUGUCGCCCCCCAAUGGGUGUCAUUGUCACCCCCCCAAUGGGUGUCACUGUCACCCUGCAGGUGCUGUCACCCUAUAGGGGUGUUGCGCCCCCCCGGGCGUCAUUACCAUCCUCUAUGGGUGUCCUCCGCCCCCAAUGGGUGUCACUGUCACCCCCCCCCCCCCCCGUGGGUGGUGUCACCCCAUCCCAGGGUGCCCCCCCCGCCGUCUCCGCUGUCCCCGGGUGUUGUCACCCCCCUCCCCCGCUCCAGUGGUGGUGUCACCCCGUCGUCCCCUGUCGGGGCGCCUACAGUGUGUGUCCCCCCCCCGCAUUGGGCGGCACUUUGCGUUGUCAUCCCCCCGCCUGGGGACACGGGGGGGGGGGGGGGGGUUAAUGGGGGGGUGACUGCAGACCUGGGCUGGGGGUGCAGCCAGAUUUUUGGGGGGGGGGGAAAUCAAAGGUGGGGACCCCAUGGGGACACGCUGGGGGCACAGGGACCCCUCAGUGGGGACCCCCCCAAGUGGGGACAGGGGACUCCCCUCAACGGGGGCUUGGGACCCCCACAUGGGGGAGGGGGGGGGAACCCCUGGACCGCCCCCCCCCGCCUCGACUGCAUCCCCCACCCGAGGGGUGGUGCCGUUUUUAAUUCCUUCUUUUUUUUUUAUUUACAUCCCCCCCCCCCAAUUAAAUCUUUCUUAAUUUAUUGCUGUUGGGAACAAAACCACGAAGCGGGGGGGGGGGCUACGGGACUGACCCCCUCCCCUCCUCCCCCCCCCCCAGGCCUGGCGCACCCCCGGGACCCCCCUCAGCCCCGGUCUCCCCCAGGGCCCCCCCAGCCCCAUCGGACCCCCUUGGCCCCCCCGGGCCCGCACAGAGGAAUACACGGUUCUAUGCUUCGUACCCCGCCUCUGCCUGCUGCCGCGCCGCCCCCCGGGGCCCCCACGCCAUGGGGAGGGGGGAGGUACCGGGAGACCCCCCCCAAAACAAGGGAACCGCCCCCCCUUAUUUCACCCUAACAAUUUGGGACUCCCACUGUAGGACCCAACUGCAUGGGGGUUCACCCCUCCCCAUGUGUCCCGACGUUUUGGGGACGCCCCCCUCUAUGGGUCCCGUUGUUUUGGGGACCCCCCCCCCCCCCUCUAUGGGUCCCCACGUUUUGGGACCCCCC